Molecule: RNA transcript, 1789 nt
Organism: Lathyrus oleraceus (garden pea)
Lineage: Eukaryota; Viridiplantae; Streptophyta; Magnoliopsida; Fabales; Fabaceae
Gene name: protein TOM THREE HOMOLOG 1
Exons: 14
Source: RefSeq, a predicted model, not a curated record
AAAGAGACGUUUUUUUUUCUCCACACAACAAUUCUUGCUGGCACCAUCGUUCCCAUUGUUAUCACAAAAUCACAACAGAUUCAUUUCUGCUUUUCCCAUUUUACCCUCUCCGCAAAAUCCGCUUCUGCUGCUAUGUCAUGUGGCGGUGCUGCUAACGCUCUCUCUCUUACGUGCACACGCAUAGAUAUAUAGAUAUACAUAUAGAUACAUAGAUCUCUGUGAAAGUACAAAACCUCUUUUUUCUUCCUUCAAUAGUUCCGUGCCAUGGCGGGAUUUGGUGGCGGCCAUUGCUUCCCGUAUCCUCUCAACGCUGUCAUUCCCGUGCUUGCUUUCGUUCAUGUGAUUCUUGCUUUCAUUGCCACUCUUCAGUUGUUGAGGAUUCACUUGAGAAGUUCAGAGCAUGGUUGGACUCGGCAAAAAGUGUUUCAUCUAUUGAUUGGCUCUUCUAACUCGGGUUACUUCAUUUAUUUGGCAUUGAUACUUCUUGCUUCUUGCAAGGGAUGGACAUAUUGGUCACACUCUUUUGGUUUCAUUUUUAUGGCACUCCCCAAAGUACUUUUUUUUGCAGCAUUUCUUCUUCUUUUAUCCUUCUGGGUUGACCUAUGCCAUCAGCCAAACGAUGACGAUGACUAUGAAGGAAGUUUUUCUGAGGAACCUUUGCUGGGAAAGUCUCCGUAUGAAGCAAAUUUAACAAACAGGGAUAGACAUAGAAAGUGUUUUCCUAUUCGUUUUUCUCGUCUCGGACACCGUCAAAAGAUUGUGAUUUUGGUUAUGUUGCUAGUUCUCAUCACCAUAAUGGCAUUUGCUGUAAUAAUCUGGAUCGGGCUAGGAAAGAAUCCCAUUGACUCUGAAGUGGCAGCUCGGGUAUACCUGGAUGUGUCUGCUAUUGGAAUGCUUCUCUUAGGAGCAGCGCUGGCAUGUUAUGGAAUCCUAUUAUGCUUGAAGAUGAGAAAAGUGAGAGCUGAAAAACCUUCAUCUGAAAUGGGGAAGGUUGCAGGUUUAACUAUGGUCUCUGUACUAUGCUUCACAUCAAGUUCCUGUGUAGAACUUUUUACGGACAUUCCUAUGAUGUUUCACUGGCAUCAGCAGCGCAUGGAUGAUGUUUAUUCACCCCUUCUGCUGAUUUUGUAUUUUUUUGUGGGUUCAUCAAUACCUUCAGCAGUGGUGAUGUGGGUAAUGAGAGAAUUACCACCUGCAGAAGAUACUGGAUCACUAGAAGAAUCAAGUAUAAUAGCUUUUGUUGCUAAUAGCUCAGUUGAUGUUCAUCAUCCUCAGAGCUGGACUACUGCAACAAGCACGCAGAAUCAGUAGAAAAAUAAUUUUUUACAUGGAUUGCUCUUGACGGUUGAGGCUUUAAGAUUCAAAUUCAUCAUUGUUUCUGACAAGUGUCAUCACAUAAGUCACAAGACAUCAAGAGCUAGUCCAAUAUGAGUUGACUUUUGCAUGUAUAUCUUCUAGUUCUGCCGGAUUUUGGGCACAGCUAAUUGGAGUUUGUUGGCAAUACUUUUAACCGUAAAGCGACGAUAAAAGAGAAAAAAAAGAAAAAAUGAUGACGGUGGAUGCAAGCACUUUCCAAUCCCAAUGUUCUUGCGUUUUAAAUCUAACUGUAUAUAGCUGCGAUUUGAUAUAUGAAAAUUUGUUUAGAGCUAUACAAGUUUUGGGAAGCAGUUGUGGUUUGGAAUCAAAAACACUUGCUUGAUGUGAAUAUAAAUGUUGACCAGCGAGCAUGUUCUUCCAACCUGCUUGCGAACUGAAUUAAUAUCUCAGAGGAUGUUGUUUCAAGUUUCUA